This 107-nucleotide small nucleolar RNA is filed under the name Helianthus annuus (common sunflower). RNAcentral describes it as "Plant small nucleolar RNA R71". It matches the Rfam family "Plant small nucleolar RNA R71". From Rfam's summary of the family: R71 is a member of the C/D box family of snoRNAs containing the C (UGAUGA) and D (CUGA) box motifs. Multiple nearly identical copies of this snoRNA have been identified in Arabidopsis, and it is thought to function as a 2'-O-ribose methylation guide for 18S ribosomal RNA. The record is from RNAcentral. Lineage: Eukaryota; Viridiplantae; Streptophyta; Magnoliopsida; Asterales; Asteraceae.
AGACCGUGAUGAGGACACUUUUGUAAUAGCUCCUUAAAUCUUUCCCAAGUUUCAUAUAAGGAUUCCCCCUCGUCUUGCGAGUAUAUAUUAAUUUCAAUCAUUAAUUU